RNAcentral lists this transfer RNA (71 nucleotides) under Bos taurus (domestic cattle). It matches the Rfam family "tRNA". Rfam says of the family: Transfer RNA (tRNA) molecules are approximately 80 nucleotides in length. Their secondary structure includes four short double-helical elements and three loops (D, anti-codon, and T loops). Lineage: Eukaryota; Metazoa; Chordata; Mammalia; Artiodactyla; Bovidae. The record is from Rfam by way of RNAcentral. RNAcentral also lists the same sequence under 1 other name.
UCCCUGGUGGCUCAGAUGGUAAAGCGUCUGCCUGCAAUGCAGAGACCUGGGUUCGAUUCCUGGGUUGGGAA